GAUGAACGCUAGCGGGAGGCCUAAUACAUGCAAGUCGAACGGUAAGGUCCCUUCGGGGAUACACGAGUGGCGGACGGGUGCGUAACGCGUACGAAACAUACCUUCAACAGGGAGAUACCUCCGGGAAACUGGAAAUAAUACCCCAUAGUAUUGAGAUAUCGCAUGAUAUUUCAAUUAAAGCUUUGGCGGUUGAAGAUUGUCGUGCGUCUGAUUAGCUAGUUGGUGAGGUAACGGCUCACCAAGGGCGACGAUCAGUAGCUGGUCUGAGAGGAUGAUCAGCCACACUGGAACUGAGACACGGUCCAGACUCCUACGGGAGGCAGCAGUAGGGAAUAUUGGACAAUGGGCGGAAGCCUGAUCCAGCCAUCCCGCGUGUAGGAAUAAGGCCCGUAUGGGUUGUAAACUA
RNAcentral lists this ribosomal RNA (406 nucleotides) under uncultured bacterium. Its description in RNAcentral is "bacterial SSU rRNA". It matches the Rfam family "Bacterial small subunit ribosomal RNA", at positions 28 to 432 of the family's 1533-position model. The record is from RNAcentral.